AAAAGAGAAGAUAUUUGCAGUUAUGCCCAAGUUAUGCAAUCCAAAUGUUUCUCUGUUUAAAGUUGGCAGUAAUUCAUGGAUUUUAGAUAGUGGAGCUUCUGAGCAUAUAACCUCUAACAAAAUCUGCCUAAACCUAUUUUGGCUACUCUUCCUAAUUCACAUAGAGCUACUGUGACUCAUUCGGGAUCUGUGAAACUCUUACCUAAUUUAAUUCUUCACAAUGGCCUCUAUAUUCAAUCUUUCAACUGGCCCUUCACCGAAGAGACCUCUGGAGGUUGGUAAGGAAUAAGGAGGUCUAUACAUUUUCAAGUCUAUUCAACAAGCAGUUUCUAAUAGACUUUUU
RNAcentral lists this unclassified non-coding RNA (343 nucleotides) under Hevea brasiliensis (rubber tree). Lineage: Eukaryota; Viridiplantae; Streptophyta; Magnoliopsida; Malpighiales; Euphorbiaceae. The record is from RNAcentral.